This 1006-nucleotide long non-coding RNA is filed under the name Populus trichocarpa (black cottonwood). Its description in RNAcentral is "long non-coding RNA (PTRI_LNC000743)". The record is from RNAcentral. Lineage: Eukaryota; Viridiplantae; Streptophyta; Magnoliopsida; Malpighiales; Salicaceae.
UAAAUAUAUAUAGUAAUUAUAAUUAAUUAUACAAAAAUCAGAAAUCACAUUACAUCGCUACUUCCAUUGAUCGGCAACAAUGUGAGCCAAAUCCACGACCCUUUGGGAGUAACCCCACUCGUUAUCAUACCAAGCAAUCACCUUAACCAUGUCGUCUCCCAUCACCAUUGUUAGUGAUGAAUCGACUGUUGAGGACACAUCGCUGCACCUGAAGUCAACUGAAACAAGUGGCUCAUCACAGACUGAUAGGAUACCCUUGAGCUCCUUCUCAGCACUCUCUCUAAAACCUUCAUUCACCUCUUCAGCAAAGGUCUUCUUGGAGACCUGGACAACAAGGUCGACCACCGAGACGUUUGGGGUGGGAACACGCAGGGCAAUGCCGUUGAGUUUACCCUUAAGAGUGGGAAGGACGAGGGCCACUGCCUUUGCUGCACCGGUUGAUGUUGGAACAAUGUUAAGAGCUGCAGCUCUUGCACGUCUGAGAUCACGGUGGCUAGCAUCAAGCAGUCUCUGAUCUCCAGUGUAUGAGUGAGUGGUAGUCAUGGUGCCCUUGAUGAUGCCUGUCACAGGUUGUCAUUCAAUUUCCAUGUUAUUAAGGCAUUUUUGUUUCGUUAAUUACUAGAAAUGCGCAACCAAAUUUAUUACAAGGUUUGCUGUGUCUGUGACUGUUCUUCUUUUCAGCUACUACAUAUUGCCUACUAGCUCUCAAUUACAACUGCGAAGUUGUGUUUGCUCAAAAGCUCAGGAUUUAAAGUUUGCAGCUCUUAACAUACAUGGAACGCUAGAGCUUUUCGAUUGACAGGAAAGUGGCAAAGAGACAGAUUAAUGAGGAAAGGGAAAGUGUCAAUAGAUUUAAUUACCAAACUUGUGGUCUAGGACCUUGACGAAGGGAGCAAGGCAGUUAGUGGUGCAAGAAGCAUUGCUGAUGAUAGGUUCAUCAGGGUUUGUAGGCGUCAGCAUUGACUCCAACAACGUAGGUUGGUAUAUCACCCUUUCCAGGGGCUGU